UACAUAGGGAGCAAGCGUUAUCCGGAAUGAUUGGGCGUAAAGCGUCUGUAGGUGGUUCAACAAGUCUACUGUCAAAUACGUUGGCUCAACCAACGGCAGGCAUUAGAGUACUAUUGAACUAGAGUGUGGUAGAGGUAGAGGGAAUCCCUAGCGUAACAGUGAAAUGUGUAGAUUUUAGGGAGAACACCAGCGGCGAAGGCGCUCUACUGGGCCAUUACUGACACUGAGAGACGAAAGCUAAGGGAGCGAAAGGG
RNAcentral lists this ribosomal RNA (254 nucleotides) under uncultured bacterium. RNAcentral describes it as "partial 16S ribosomal RNA". It matches the Rfam family "Bacterial small subunit ribosomal RNA", at positions 524 to 776 of the family's 1533-position model. The record is from RNAcentral.